This 311-nucleotide long non-coding RNA is filed under the name Jatropha curcas. Its description in RNAcentral is "long non-coding RNA (JCUR_LNC003544)". The record is from RNAcentral. Lineage: Eukaryota; Viridiplantae; Streptophyta; Magnoliopsida; Malpighiales; Euphorbiaceae.
UGCCGUCGUGUGAGUCACUUUCCGGUAGCCUAUCUCAGUCGGACUUACUCUUGCAGACUCGUCUUGCUCUGUUGACUUCAUCCCAGCCUGAUUCGUGACUUGUUCUUCUGUGCAUCUGUAUCUCGGUAUUUAUUUGUGUUACUAUCACUUUGCCAGCAGUUGGUUUUUCUUGCAACAAUCACUAAGUCAUGGUUGAUGGGAAUAAACCUGUUGAAAAAAAUUGAAACUAUUGAAACGAAAUUGGUUGCUUCUUUGGACAAUCCUUCUUUACAAAUUAGUUCAGUUAGGCUUGACAGUACUAACUACCUUGC